AUAUUUUAUGAUAGUAAUUAAUAGUUUAUAUUAUUUAACACAUUUUCUAACGUUAUAAAAAAAAAAAAAAAAAAAAAAAAACUCAAAAAAUUCAUAAAAUCUGUCAUCCCUAUACCCAACAGCUAAUUUUGUGGUAAAAUGUUGGCAAAGAACUAUUCACAUUAAUAUCCCCAAUUUCCCAUACACUUUUCUUAAAGUUGGAAAAAAAAUAAAUUAAUUUGGUACUACAUAAUAUCAACAGCUACAAGCCUACAAGCAGGUUCAAUUCAAAGUCUGUCACCCAGAACUGCAGCCGCCUGCCGACCCGCCGCCCUUCCAGCCGCCGGACUUCAGCCGGCAAUCCAUCCUCUCAAUUUCAGAAAAUAUUACUUGGUGGACUCGGCAUAUCCAAAUACUCUUGGAUAUAUGUCGCCGUACAUCGGGGGAGUAAGAGUACAUAUACCUAAAUUUAGAAAAUCAGCACCUAGAGGAUUAAAAGAAACAUUUUAAUAACCUACAUUCAUCGUUAAGAAUGAAGCUGGAAUGUUCGUUUGGACAGUUGAAGAAAAUGUGGAGUAUAUUAGAUAACAUGCCACAAGUGUCACUAAAGAGUCAAAUGCCAAUCAUUGUAGCCACUUGCACACUACAUAAUUUUAUUCGGAUGCAUACGCUUGGCAUACCAAUCAUUUAACAUGAUACAAAUCAAGGAGUAGCAGAUUCAACUAUGUUUGCACCUUAGUGCGACCUACAUCGUAUAGCACGCCGAAUUUGGAGGGCUAAUCGAACAUAAAGCGACAAUGAAGGUGAUGACAAUGAAGAUGAAAGCGGCAAUGAAGAUGAUGACAAUGUAGAUCAUAUGGAAGUAGAUGGUUAGUUAACCAAGAUGUUAAACUCUUAUCUAAUUAUGUUCUAAUUUAGAUAUGUGCUUGUAAUAAUUUAAAGAUGUUAAACUCUUGUCUUUUAUCUUUCUACUAUUUAGAUAUGUUAAAGAUGGUACACAUCUAUUUAUGUUUUCA
Chenopodium quinoa (quinoa) is the source of this 995-nucleotide long non-coding RNA. RefSeq lists it as uncharacterized. The record is from RefSeq and is a predicted model, not a curated record. Lineage: Eukaryota; Viridiplantae; Streptophyta; Magnoliopsida; Caryophyllales; Amaranthaceae. The transcript has 2 exons.